Molecule: ribosomal RNA, 253 nt
Filed under: uncultured bacterium
Lineage: Bacteria
Description: partial 16S ribosomal RNA
Rfam family: Bacterial small subunit ribosomal RNA
Source: RNAcentral
GACGGAGGAUGCAAGCGUUAUCCGGAAUGAUUGGGCGUAAAGCGCGCGUAGGCGGCUCGGUAAGUCCGCUGUGAAAGUCCAGGGCUCAACCCUGGAAAGCGGGUGGAUACUGCCGGGCUAGAAUCCGGAAGAGGCGAGUGGAAUUCCUGGUGUAGCGGUGGAAUGCGCAGAUAUCAGGAGGAACACCAGUAGCGAAGGCAGCUCGCUGGGACGUUAUUGACGCUAAGGCUCGAAAGCGUGGGGAGCAAACAGG